UACGUAGGCAGCAAGCGUUGUUCGGAGUUACUGGGCGUAAAGGGUGUGUAGGCGGUCUCGUAAGUCUGGUGUGAAAUCUCCCGGCUCAACUGGGAGGGUGCGCCGGAAACUGCGAGGCUAGAGUGUGGGAUGGGAGAGUGGAAUUCCUGGUGUAGCGGUGAAAUGCGUAGAUAUCAGGAGGAACACCUGCGGUGUAGACGGCUCUCUGGACCACUACUGACGCUGAAACACGAAAGCGUGGGGAGCAAACAGG
Molecule: ribosomal RNA, 253 nt
Filed under: uncultured bacterium
Lineage: Bacteria
Description: partial 16S ribosomal RNA
Rfam family: Bacterial small subunit ribosomal RNA
Source: RNAcentral